CAGAUUUUUCUAUCUUGCACAUAAUGGUGUUGGUUCUCUGCAUUGUUUCUGCAUUUGGAGCUGUACUUCUGUUCUGCUGUCUGAUCUACUGCCCAUCAAAUAGCACAGCUUUCUCAAGCAGAACAAACUUCUGGACAAUUCAGGGUUCACUUGUCUUUUGUCCAAACAUCUGCAUGUUUUUUGCCUUCAUCUUCUGGGGUCUUUCUAAAGGAUUUGAUAGUGAGAUAAUCACUUGCUGUGCUCUUUAUAUUCUGAGACCUGUUAUGUAUCUUACAGGUAUGUAUUAGAAUGUAAAG
Molecule: long non-coding RNA, 296 nt
Organism: Carassius carassius (crucian carp)
Lineage: Eukaryota; Metazoa; Chordata; Actinopteri; Cypriniformes; Cyprinidae
Exons: 3
Source: RefSeq, a predicted model, not a curated record